GCUAUAGCUUACAUAGCUAAAAUAAACAGCAUGUUGUUUUUUUGGCUUUUUUUUUCAGCAUAAAGCAGUGCUGUGAACAAGCAAGGAAAAUAAGUGAAAGGGGAGGAAGUACUUCAGCCUGAGGAGAGCAUUCUAGGGAGCUGCAAGCAUGCACAGACUUUUCGAGAGGCUCAGGAACUUCAUAUUUAUAGAGCAUUCUCAGCUGUGGUGAUAUCUACUUCGCAG
RNAcentral lists this long non-coding RNA (225 nucleotides) under Anser brachyrhynchus (Pink-footed goose). Its description in RNAcentral is "lncRNA (ENSABRG00000015397.1)". The record is from RNAcentral. Lineage: Eukaryota; Metazoa; Chordata; Aves; Anseriformes; Anatidae.